This is a long non-coding RNA of Coccinella septempunctata (seven-spotted ladybird), 465 nucleotides long. RefSeq lists it as uncharacterized. Lineage: Eukaryota; Metazoa; Arthropoda; Insecta; Coleoptera; Coccinellidae. The transcript is spliced from 3 exons. The record is from RefSeq and is a predicted model, not a curated record.
GGUAUGAAACUUCCUUGAAUUUUGAGUAGGGAUCACGUGACCUACCCAAUAUGGCUGCCUGCCGAAAUUACCCGAAUGGAUCCGUAAAAACCGAUUCAGUCCAAAACGAAUUUGACAAUUUUGACAUUAGUGGUAUGUGUUUGACGGAUAAUACAAUUAUGAUGGUAAAUUACAAAUUUCGUUUUGAAUGUUUGAAAUUAAAACUUUAUUACCUAGAUGAAUUGCUUUUUCAGGUCCCUGUUUGAUGAAAGGCUGAAAACAAACAAAAAAUUGGAUUUAGGAUUCAAGCCCCAGGUAACCGAGGAGAAUUUAUUUGAGUAAGAAACAGAGCUUAUUCAUGGUAAAUUACAAAUUUCGUUUUGAAUGUUAGAAAUUAAAACUUUAUUACCUAGAUGAAUUGCUUUUUCAGGUCCCUGUUUGAUGAAAGGCUGAAAUAAACAAAAAAUUGGAUUUAAGCUCCAGGUA